Lates calcarifer (barramundi perch) is the source of this 1547-nucleotide long non-coding RNA. RefSeq lists it as uncharacterized. Lineage: Eukaryota; Metazoa; Chordata; Actinopteri; Centropomidae. The record is from RefSeq and is a predicted model, not a curated record. The transcript has 4 exons.
CAACUGACGUUCUUUCUACCGAUGUUGGCUUGCGUGUGUUGUCAUUGGCCGUCACCGUAUGGGAGGAGCGCAGAGAGGCGGACAGACGAGGUCGGCAAACGGAUUUAAACCAAGUUUGAACCAUUGCUUCGGUUUGUCAGUACUUUGAGAAAACUUAAUUACUGAAGAAGCCUGGAUGCUAAAUCAAGGUUUGGAACUGCUUUUUGUCGAACACGAGUGAGGCUGGACGCUGAGUACACCUGCGUUGCGAUGGUGUCACCACUUUGUCCACAACAUCAUCCACAAUCGCAGAGACAUGGUCCAUGAUCGGAGAGACAUUGUUGAGGAUGAGGGAGACAUUGUCCACGAUCAGAGACGUUGUCUAUGAUCACAGAGACCUUGUCAAAGAUGAGAGAGACGUUGUCCGUGAUCAGAGACAUUGUCCAUGCUUCGUAGAGACCUUGCGAUAGAAUCGGCGGAGACGGGGGUCACUGAUUUGACGGCAUUGCCCGCGAUCAGGGACAUUGUUGAUGACCACAGAGACAUCAUCUAUGAUCUCAGAGACAUCGUCCACGAUUACAAAGACAUAGUUCAUGAUUGCAGAGACAUUGUCCAUAAUCUCAGAGACAUUGUCCGCGAUCACAGAGACGUAGUCCACCAUCACAGAGAUGUAGUCCAAGAUCACAGAGAGUCUUUGUACAAUGAAGAAGUUCUUUAAGACCAAGACAGAGGCCUCCAGGUGUCACCACUUUGUCCACGACAUCGUCCACAAUCGCAGAGACAUGGUCCAUGAUCGGAGAGACAUUGUUGAGGAUGAGGGAGACAUUGUCCACGAUCAGAGAUGUUGUCUAUGAUUGCAGAGACCUUGUCAAAGAUGAGAGAGACGUUGUCCGUGAUCAGAGACAUUGUCCAUGCUUCGUAGAGACCUUGCGAUAGAAUCGGCGGAGACGGGGGUCACCGAUUUGACGGCAUUGCCCGCGAUCAGGGACAUUGUUGAUGACCACAGAGACACCGUCUAUGAUCUCAGAGACAUCGUCCACAAUCACAAAGACAUAGUCCAUGAUUGCAGAGACAUUGUCCAUAAUCUCAGAGACAUUGUCCGCGAUCACAGAGACGUAGUCCACCAUCACAGAGAUGUAGUCCAAGAUCACAGAGAGUCUUUGUACAAUGAAGAAGUUCUUUCAGACCAAGACAGAGGCCUCCAGGAGGAGAAGACAGCAGCAGCUGAAGACCUGAAGUGGAUGAGAGAAAACAAAAGUGUUAUGAAGCUGCUAAUUAGAUAAAAGACCUCCACCAUCUAACUGCUGUAAACAGUGCUGGUUUCCUGUUGUUCAAGUGAAAACACUUUGUUUUUCUCUACCAUCUGUAAUGCAGCCAUGGGCACAAGACUUUAUUAAACACCUUUGAGAACAUCCAAGGGCUUAUGAUACAACUAUUUAAUAAUUGUAUCACAAGCAGUUAGAUGAUCACAAAGAUGCUUAGUAGACGUGUUAGUCUUUGGAAAAUGUGCUCAUAACUACUAACUGUUUCUGUGUGGUUAAAUGUUGUCUGGAAUAAAAUAAUAGUCU